UACAGAGGUCUCAAGCGUUGUUCGGAUUCAUUGGGCGUAAAGGGUGCGUAGGCGGCGCGGUAAGUCGGGUGUGAAAUCUCGGAGCUUAACUCCGAAACUGCAUUCGAUACUGCCGUGCUUGAGGACUGGAGAGGAGACUGGAAUUUACGGUGUAGCGGUGAAAUGCGUAGAUAUCGUAAGGAAGACCAGUGGCGAAGGCGGGUCUCUGGACAGUUCCUGGACGCUGAGGCACGAAGGUCAGGGGAGCAAAACGGG
This 255-nucleotide ribosomal RNA is filed under the name uncultured bacterium. RNAcentral's name for it is "partial 16S ribosomal RNA". It matches the Rfam family "Bacterial small subunit ribosomal RNA", at positions 524 to 777 of the family's 1533-position model. The record is from RNAcentral.